This 502-nucleotide ribosomal RNA is filed under the name uncultured bacterium. Its description in RNAcentral is "bacterial SSU rRNA". It matches the Rfam family "Bacterial small subunit ribosomal RNA", at positions 8 to 507 of the family's 1533-position model. The record is from RNAcentral.
AGAGUUUGAUCUUGGCUCAGAUUGAACGCUGGCGGAAUGCUUUACACAUGCAAGUCGAACGGCAGCACGGGGCAACCUGGUGGCGAGUGGCGAACGGGUGAGUAAUACAUCGGAACGUGCCCAAUCGUGGGGGAUAACGUAGCGAAAGUUACGCUAAUACCGCAUACGAUCUACGGAUGAAAGCGGGGGAUCGCAAGACCUCGCGCGAGUGGAGCGGCCGAUGUCAGAUUAGGUAGUUGGUGGGGUAAAGGCUCACCAAGCCAACGAUCUGUAGCUGGUCUGAGAGGACGACCAGCCACACUGGAACUGAGACACGGUCCAGACUCCUACGGGAGGCAGCAGUGGGGAAUUUUGGACAAUGGGCGCAAGCCUGAUCCAGCCAUUCCGCGUGCAGGAUGAAGGCCUUCGGGUUGUAAACUGCUUUUGUACGGAACGAAACGGCGAGCUCUAAUACAGUUUGCUAAUGACGGUACCGUAAGAAUAAGCACCGGCUAACUACGUG